This 23-nucleotide non-coding RNA is filed under the name Arabidopsis thaliana (thale cress). Lineage: Eukaryota; Viridiplantae; Streptophyta; Magnoliopsida; Brassicales; Brassicaceae. The record is from RNAcentral.
UCACCAUCACCACCACUCGACUA